RNAcentral lists this small RNA (86 nucleotides) under Salix viminalis (osier). Lineage: Eukaryota; Viridiplantae; Streptophyta; Magnoliopsida; Malpighiales; Salicaceae. The record is from RNAcentral.
AAUAUCACCAGCAGAUGAUAUUUCUUGCAGUAAUCACAAGAGCUUCUGUACCCAGUAGAGAAGAUCUUCUGACUAAUCACAAGAAC